ACGGAGCGGCGAACGGGUGAGUAACACGUGAGCAACCUGCCCCGAAGACCGGGAUAGCCCGAGGAAACUCGGAUUAAUACCGGAUGCCUUCACACUUCCGCAUGGCGGAGUGAAGAAAUGCCUUUGUGUUUCGGGAUGGGCUCGCGGCCUAUUAGCUAGUAGGCGCGGUAACGGCGCACCUAGGCUACGAUAGAUAGGGGCCCUGAGAGGGGGAUCCCCCACACUGGUACUGAGACACGGACCAG
RNAcentral lists this ribosomal RNA (245 nucleotides) under uncultured bacterium. RNAcentral's name for it is "partial 16S ribosomal RNA". It matches the Rfam family "Bacterial small subunit ribosomal RNA", at positions 90 to 334 of the family's 1533-position model. The record is from RNAcentral.